RNAcentral lists this unclassified non-coding RNA (386 nucleotides) under plant metagenome. Its description in RNAcentral is "partial contains small subunit ribosomal RNA and internal transcribed spacer 1". The record is from RNAcentral.
AAGUCGUAACAAGGUUCCUUCCCCCUAUAGAAGCCUUUCGCAGCGACUUUAAAUAACUGCGCAGCCUACCUUGAUUGAGUAUGGCAACGCCACGAAAUUGCUAAGACCCGUGUUCGGGUAUCAGCAGCCUGGAAUUCUAGGUCCACAGAUCAAGUAGUGGUGGUCAUUUGAUGAUUAAGAUAUGACCGGUCUUCACUAGAAUUAGUUAAGAAACAACGUUCCGUAGGUGAACCUGCGGAAGGAUCAUUAUCGGGAGUGCCCUCGUGGCUUAACCUGCAACCCAAUGUUUUAAAAAAGCCCUUGUUUCUUUGGCGGGUUCGCCCGUCAGAAGAAUUCUCAGACUCAUGAUAAAUGUGUCUUCUGAAUAACCAUUUAAUAAAUUAAAG